CAGAUUGAACGCUGGCGGCAGGCCUAACACAUGCAAGUCGAGCGGAAACGAUGGAAGCUUGCUUCCAGGCGUCGAGCGGCGGACGGGUGAGUAAUGCAUAGGAAUCUGCCCGGUAGUGGGGGAUAACCUGGGGAAACCCAGGCUAAUACCGCAUACGUCCUACGGGAGAAAGCAGGGGAUCUUCGGACCUUGCGCUAUCGGAUGAGCCUAUGUCGGAUUAGCUUGUUGGUGAGGUAACGGCUCACCAAGGCCGCGAUCCGUAGCUGGUCUGAGAGGAUGAUCAGCCACAUCGGGACUGAGACACGGCCCGAACUCCUACGGGAGGCAGCAGUGGGGAAUAUUGGACAAUGGGCGAAAGCCUGAUCCAGCCAUGCCGCGUGUGUGAAGAAGGCCCUCGGGUUGUAAAGCACUUUCAGUGAGGAAGAACGCUUGUGGGUUAAUACCCUGCAAGGAAGACAUCACUCACAGAAGAAGCACCGGCUAACUCCGUGCCAGCAGCCGCGGUAAUACGGAGGGUGCGAGCGUUAAUCGGAAUUACUGGGCGUAAAGCGCGCGUAGGCGGCUUGAUAAGCCGGUUGUGAAAGCCCCGGGCUCAACCUGGGAACGGCAUCCGGAACUGUCAGGCUAGAGUGCAGGAGAGGAAGGUAGAAUUCCCGGUGUAGCGGUGAAAUGCGUAGAGAUCGGGAGGAAUACCAGUGGCGAAGGCGGCCUUCUGGACUGACACUGACGCUGAGGUGCGAAAGCGUGGGUAGCAAACAGGAUUAGAUACCCUGGUAGUCCACGCCGUAAACGAUGUCGACUAGCCGUUGGGGUCCUCGAGACCUUUGUGGCGCAGUUAACGCGAUAAGUCGACCGCCUG
This 859-nucleotide ribosomal RNA is filed under the name Halomonas organivorans. Its description in RNAcentral is "bacterial SSU rRNA". It matches the Rfam family "Bacterial small subunit ribosomal RNA", at positions 25 to 875 of the family's 1533-position model. The record is from RNAcentral. Lineage: Bacteria; Pseudomonadati; Pseudomonadota; Gammaproteobacteria; Oceanospirillales; Halomonadaceae.